Molecule: ribosomal RNA, 253 nt
Filed under: uncultured bacterium
Lineage: Bacteria
Description: partial 16S ribosomal RNA
Rfam family: Bacterial small subunit ribosomal RNA
Source: RNAcentral
UACAGAGGGUGCGAGCGUUAAUCGGAAUUACUGGGCGUAAAGGGCGCGUAGGCGGUUGUUUAAGUGAGUUGUGAAAUACCUGGGCUUAACCUGGGAAUUGCGACUUAUACUGGACAGCUGGAGUACUGUAGAGGGUAGUGGAAUUUCCGGUGUAGCGGUGAAAUGCGUAGAUAUCGGAAGGAACACCAGUGGCGAAGGCGACUACCUGGACAGAUACUGACGCUGAGGCGCGAGAGCGUGGGGAGCAAACAGG